RNAcentral lists this ribosomal RNA (653 nucleotides) under uncultured euryarchaeote. Its description in RNAcentral is "bacterial SSU rRNA". It matches the Rfam family "Archaeal small subunit ribosomal RNA", at positions 402 to 1051 of the family's 1478-position model. Lineage: Archaea; Methanobacteriati; Methanobacteriota. The record is from RNAcentral.
AUAAGCUUUUGUAAAAUGUAAAAAGUUUUACGAAUAAGGACUGGGUAAGACUAGUGCCAGCCGCCGCGGUAAUACUAUCGGUCCAAGUCGCAGCCGUUUUUAUUGGGUCUAAAACAUCCGUAGCUUGCCUAUUAAGUUCCUAUGUGAAAUUUUAUAUCUUAAAUAUGAAGCGAGCAAGAAGUACUGGUACGCUAAAGACUGAAAGACGUAAAGAGUAUGUUCGGAGUAGCGGUAAAAUGUGUUAAUCCUGGACAGACUUACAAUAGCGAAGGCACUUUACGAGGACAGUUCUGACAGUAAGGGAUGAAGGCUAGGGGCGCAAAAGGGAUUAGAUACCCCUUGUAGUCCUAGCAGUAAACACUGCACACUAAACAUUAGUGCCUCUUCGGGAGGUAUUAGUGCUGAAGGGAAGCCGAAGAGUGUGCUACCUGGGAAGUAUAGUCGCAAGGCUGAAACUUAAAGGAAUUGGCGGGGAGACACUACAACAGGUGACGCGUGCGAUUUAAUUAGAUUAUACCCCGUGAACCUCACCAGGAGCCGACAGCAGAAUGAAGGUCAGUUUGAAGGGCUUACCUGACACGCUGAGAGGAGCUGCAUGGCCGACGUCAGCCUGUGCCGUGAGGUGACCUGUUAAAUCAGAUAACAGGCAAGAC